AAGAGGUGUAUUAAUAAUUAGAGCUGCUAACUC
Molecule: transfer RNA, 33 nt
Filed under: Podarcis muralis (Common wall lizard)
Lineage: Eukaryota; Metazoa; Chordata; Lepidosauria; Squamata; Lacertidae
Description: partial tRNA-Ser
Source: RNAcentral